Molecule: long non-coding RNA, 983 nt
Organism: Chelonia mydas (Green sea turtle)
Lineage: Eukaryota; Metazoa; Chordata; Testudines; Cheloniidae
Exons: 2
Source: RefSeq, a predicted model, not a curated record
AGCUUUCCAUACUGAAAACCAUUAAAAUUUGUGAUAAAAAUUUCAUGUAUGAGACUCAAUUCAAUUGAUGGACAUUAGUUAAAAAAAACUUUUGAAGACCUACUUCAUUAGAAAGGCCCACAAUCAUAGAGUGAAACACUGAGAAAAUUAUAUUUUUGUGUUAUUUUAGUAAACAUCUUCCUCUGGCAAGGAUCAAUGCCAGUGACUUUUCCAGCUUCUCUACUAGGACAAAACCUGUUUUGGUUUGGUUUUUUGGACGGGGAAGAGGGUGAGAGGAGAAUAAUGAUCUCUGAAGUUACAAAAACAGGGGAGGACUUGGUGGUUACUGACGUUUGGGGAGAUGACAACUUCCUAUUGUAUACAGAAAAGUCUGCUUUGUAUAUUGAGAUUUUAAAUUACCAUAGGACAAUAAGAACGUUUACAUACCUGAAUUGGGAAUAUUUUGACAGCAACAUACUCAUUUAGCAACUGAGCUUUCCAUACACAACCAAAUCUUCCCCUAGCUUUGAUCUCUAACAACUGCAGAGGCUUCAGACCCAUCAAGGGUGAAGGUGGUGGUGGGCCAGGGUCCUGAAAACAGAUAGAAGUGUAUAAUUGAAAUCUAGAUAUUCUGUGUGAGAUCUAGGAUGACAGUAUUAGGAACAUAAAGACAAUUAUAUUGAAAAACAUUUGGUGUCAAAUUCUGCCAAAAACAAAACAAUCUUUAACCCUUCUUUACAGGAAGGAAACAGGACUCCAUCAGACACACUGAGAAUUAAGACACAAAUAGAAACCUAACAUAUUUCUAAUAUUUAGUCUUCUGAGAUAUGAAGGCAGAAAGGCACUAAAGAGACUGAAAAUCAAGCUUUAAUUAUGAUAGAAUUCCAAGUAUUUUUACAAUAGCAGAGCAGAGAACAGUGUGUGUGUGUGUGUGUGUGUGUGUAAAAUGCAAACUAGACCAAAUGUAUUUCUGUCACUAACUAGAAGAUGACUGAAGAUUCAAC